GUAAUAAGUGCUUUAUGGCACUUUUUAAAUCCAUAUCCACCUUGUGUGCAAUGUCAGUCGAUCUUCUUCAUGGAGAUCGACCAAACAUCAACCUUUAUCUUUUAACUCUUUGUCUGAAAAAUAUUAUGAAUAAACAAUUCAAAAUA
Molecule: unclassified non-coding RNA, 146 nt
Filed under: soil metagenome
Description: partial internal transcribed spacer 1
Source: RNAcentral